CCAGCUGCGCGGGACGCCUGUUAUAACCAGGGCUCGCCAGCGCCCCGGAAGCUGCCCCUUCUCGGGGGUCAUGAUGGGCAGCAAGAUGGCGUCUGCCAGCAGGGUCGUUCAGGUAGUCAAGCCACAUACUCCAUUAAUAAGGUUCCCUGACAGAAGAGACAAUCCUAAAGCAAAUGUAUCAGAAGUUCUACGAUCAGCAGGACUACUAUCUCAUACUUCCUCAAUUUCGCAGCAUUCUAAGGGAAGUAAAUUGCCAGACUGGCUGAUGCAUCAGGGUCCACCAGACACUGCAGAGAAAAUAAAAACUUUACCUCAGAAAUACAGACGGAAACUUAUCUCUCAAGAAGAAAUUUAAUUUAUCCAACGUGGAGGUCUGGAAUAAUCACUGACAAUGAGGCUGCAAUGAGAAGGGACAAUGAAACUCUUCUUUUAGAAGAGUCUUUCUAAAAAAGGACUUCCAGAAUGACAAAUGAAAAAUUGUAUAUUAAACAACUUUAAUAAAUAUGCUGUAAAAAGAAAAAAAAAGAUGAAGUAUAGAAAAUUUAGAUGGACACUUAUAUCUCCUAAUUUAUGUAUCUUGGUCAGCUUCUCUAGAAGUUUACCUGAUUGUUUAUAUACUUUAUACCUUAAUUAAAGUAUACAUUUUAAAAUGUUAGCCUAAUAAUUUACUUUUGAUUAUCAAGCAUAACAGUGUUGAACUAUUGAAAGCACACAAUGUCCAGUGAACCGUCAAAGGCUUCCAGUAAUUUCACUUUUCUUUCAGUUUCUGUUUAAACAAUAUAUUUGGCAGAAUUGCAGCUUUCUGGAAGUAAUUUUCCUAAACUUGAAUGAGGAUCCAUGAAAUAAUAACUCCAUUAUUUGUUCUUACUUCUCAGUGUUUUUGCAUUUACAAAGUUACUGGAGCAUAACUGGCUUAUUAACAAGCAUAUCCUACUCUAAAUGAUAAAAAUAUACCCAUGGUAAAACAGUUGACUUUGUGAUAUUAAGACUAGGGAGUUAACACAUAGCAUUAUAUGUAACCUGUAUUCCUGUAUUCAGAAAAUGAUGGAGUAUAAAAUGGAAAAUGAGAUCAAAAUGAAUAUAGCAUAGGAAUAACAUUUGACCAGAAAUUGUAAUUUAUUGUGUUUUCAGGGGGGUUAAGAAACUCUUGUUCUUUGGCUUAUCUCUUUGUUUUGAUUGUGAUCAUGUAUACAAAUCCUGAUAAUCAUAAACUUUCUCAAACUUAA
Non-coding RNA from Odocoileus virginianus texanus, 1226 nucleotides. The record is from RefSeq and is a predicted model, not a curated record. Lineage: Eukaryota; Metazoa; Chordata; Mammalia; Artiodactyla; Cervidae.